UAUAAUACCAAACUAUUAAUCUUGAAUUCUAUAGAAACCCGGUUUUAUAUACCUUUAAUAUAUACCAUUUGAUAUAAGACAACGUAACAUGGAAACCCGACACGAUAUAUGGUAUGGAUGAUACUUGAUUUUUUGAUUUUUUUUUUUUGACAUGAUAAGUCUUCAUCAGUUUGUAUCACCAUGAUUUAAUAUUGUAUCCAGGCCGUAGCUCACAAUACUAGUAAACAUAUUAUUUUUUAGUAUAAUCUUUUGACGUACAAUAGUAGUAACAAUAAUAUAAACUAGAUAGUCAAUGUAAACUAGUAAUUUUAUUAGCAUAUAGACCUAAAUUUGAUUGUUUUUAAA
This 345-nucleotide long non-coding RNA is filed under the name Capsella rubella. RNAcentral describes it as "long non-coding RNA (CRUB_LNC001173)". Lineage: Eukaryota; Viridiplantae; Streptophyta; Magnoliopsida; Brassicales; Brassicaceae. The record is from RNAcentral.